RNAcentral lists this unclassified non-coding RNA (200 nucleotides) under soil metagenome. RNAcentral's name for it is "partial contains internal transcribed spacer 2 and large subunit ribosomal RNA". The record is from RNAcentral.
UUGUCGUGGAUAUCCACGACUCGUCUGAAAUGCCUGAGUGUAUCCCGCUUUGCGGCGUAUUCGGUGUGAUACAUCUUCACCGGAGUUGAUCCCUUUGGGUCACGUCUAUAUGAGUGUGGCUCUAUGCUUCCAACCGUCUUCCAGGAGACAAUUUCUGACAAUUUGACCUCAAAUCGGGUGGGACUACCCGCUGAACUUAA